Molecule: long non-coding RNA, 474 nt
Filed under: Setaria italica (foxtail millet)
Lineage: Eukaryota; Viridiplantae; Streptophyta; Magnoliopsida; Poales; Poaceae
Description: long non-coding RNA (SITA_LNC001920)
Source: RNAcentral
CGCCACCAACAACGCCCCCGGCCUCAUCGGCGCCGGCAGCAAGCUCGCCUUCGGCAACGCCACCACCACCAACGCCGACCGCUACAACUACUUCCCCGCCAACGCCGCUCCCGACGCCAAGAGCAACGCCAACAACAACUCCGGCGGCCUCGCCUUCAGCAAGAACCUCAACAGCCCGGCCGCCGCCCUCGGCAACGACUACUACUUCAGCAAGAACGCCGGCGCCAUGAACGCCAACACCAACGCCGGCGGCGACGUCAUCAAGAGCUACUUCAACAAGUCCGUCGGCAGGCCGGCCAACAACAACAAUAACAACUCCUUCAACGUCGGCAAGAAGAGCGCCGCCGCCCACGACAAGAAGAAGAGCGCCGGCAACGGCAACGGCGCCGGCGUCGACAAGAGGUUCAAGAGCCUGCCGGCGUCGGAGGCGCUGCCCAGGGGCGAGGCCAUCGGCGGGUACAUCUUCGUCUGCAA